Vombatus ursinus (common wombat) is the source of this 107-nucleotide small nuclear RNA. Lineage: Eukaryota; Metazoa; Chordata; Mammalia; Diprotodontia; Vombatidae. The record is from Ensembl.
GUGCUUGCUUCAACAGCACUUAUACCAAAAUUGGAACAAUACAGAGAAGAUUAGCAUGGCACCUACACAAGAAUGACAUGCAAAUUUGUGAAACAUUCUAUAUUUUU